AUUUGACGUUAGCGACAGAAGAAGCACCGGCUAACUCCGUGCCAGCAGCCGCGGUAAUACGGAGGGUGCGAGCGUUAAUCGGAAUUACUGGGCGUAAAGCGCAUGCAGGUGGUUGUUAAGUCAGAUGUGAAAGACCCGGGGCCGUCAACCUCGGAAUAGCAUUUGAAACUGGCAGACUAGAGUACUGUAGAGGGGGGUAGGAAGUUUCAGGUGUAGCGGUGAAAUGCGUAGAGAUCUGAAGGAAUACCGGUGGCGAAGGCGGCCCCCUCGGACAGAUACUGACACUCAGAUGCGAAAGCGUGGGGAGCAAACAGGAUUAGAUACCCUGGUAG
This 332-nucleotide ribosomal RNA is filed under the name uncultured bacterium. RNAcentral's name for it is "bacterial SSU rRNA". It matches the Rfam family "Bacterial small subunit ribosomal RNA", at positions 467 to 793 of the family's 1533-position model. The record is from RNAcentral.